AUACGUAGGGGGCGAGCGUUGUCCGGAAUGAUUGGGCGUAAAGGGCGCGUAGGCGGCGCGGUAAGUCUGGAGUGAAAGUCCUGCUUUCAAGGUGGGAAUUGCUUUGGAGACUGGUUGGCUUGAGUGCGGAAGAGGUAAGUGGAAUUCCCAGUGUAGCGGUGAAAUGCGUAGAGAUUGGGAGGAACACCAGUGGCGAAGGCGACUUACUGGACUGUAACUGACGCUGAGGCGCGAAAGUGUGGGGAGCAAACAGGAUUAGAUACCCUGGUAGUCCACACUGUAAACGAUGAAUGCUAGGUGUAGGGGGUAUCGACCCCUUCUGUGCCGCAGUCAACUCAAUAAGCAUUCCGCCUGGGGAGUACGGCCGCAAGGUUGAAACUCAAAGGAAUUGACGGGG
Molecule: ribosomal RNA, 397 nt
Filed under: uncultured bacterium
Lineage: Bacteria
Description: partial 16S ribosomal RNA
Rfam family: Bacterial small subunit ribosomal RNA
Source: RNAcentral